CCUACAUGAAGUCGGAAUCGCUAGUAAUCGCGGAUCAGCAUGCCGCGGUGAAUACGUUCCCGGGCCUUGUACACACCGCCCGUCACACCACGGGAGUUUGCAACACCCGAAGUCGGUGAGGUAACCGUAAGGAGCCAGCCGCCGAAGGUGGGGUAGAUAACUGGGGUGAAGUCGUAACAAGGUAUCCGUACCGGAAGGUGCGGAUGGAUCACCUCCUUU
This 219-nucleotide ribosomal RNA is filed under the name Brevibacillus laterosporus. RNAcentral describes it as "partial 16S ribosomal RNA". It matches the Rfam family "Bacterial small subunit ribosomal RNA", at positions 1315 to 1533 of the family's 1533-position model. Lineage: Bacteria; Bacillati; Bacillota; Bacilli; Caryophanales; Paenibacillaceae. The record is from RNAcentral.